This 507-nucleotide ribosomal RNA is filed under the name uncultured bacterium. RNAcentral describes it as "bacterial SSU rRNA". It matches the Rfam family "Bacterial small subunit ribosomal RNA", at positions 1 to 518 of the family's 1533-position model. The record is from RNAcentral.
ACGUACGUACGAGUUAGGUACGUACUACUGGGCUCAGAAUGAACGCUGGCGGCAUGGAUUAGGCAUGCAAGUCGAACGUACUCCCUUCGGGGAGAAAGUGGCGAAAGGGUGAGUAACACGUGAGCAACCUGCCUCCGGAUCCGGAAUAAUCCAGGGAAACUUGGUCUAAAACCGGAUGAAGACAUUGGGCCGCAUGGUCUAAUGUUAAAAUAUUUAUAGUCCGGAGAGGGGCUCGCGGCCCAUUAGCUUGUUGGCGGGGUAAUGGCCCACCAAGGCUACGACGGGUAGGUGGUCUGAGAGGAUGGUCACCCACACUGGGACUGAGACACUGCCCAGACUCCUACGGGAGGCUGCAGUCGAGAAUCUUCCGCAAUGGGCGCAAGCCUGAACCGGAGCGAUGCCGCGUGAGGGAUGAAGGCCUUCGGGUUGUAAACCUCUGUCAUCCGGGACGAAAACAAUGACGGUACCGGAAAAGGAAGCCACGGCUAACCACGUGCCAGCAGCUGC